GGGGUGUUAGGGCACGACACCGGAGAGGGAGCCUGAGAAACGGCUACCACAUCCAAGGAAGGCAGCAGGCGCGCAAAUUACCCAAUCCCGACACGGGGAGGUAGUGACAAUAAAUAACAAUACAAGGUUCUUUUGGAUCUUGUAAUUGGAAUGAGUACAAUUUAAAUCUCUUAACGAGGAACAAUUGGAGGGCAAGUCUGGUGCCAGCAGCCGCGGUAAUUCCAGCUCCAAUAGCGUAUAUUAAAGUUGUUGCAGUUAAAAAGCUCGUAGUUGAAUUUCGGGAUCAAUGUUUCGGUCAUGCCGUUGGUAUGUACUGAUAUUAUUGGUUUCUCACCUUCUAAAGAACCGUAAUGCCAUUAAUUUGGUGUCACGGGGAAUUAGGACUGUUACCUUGAAAAAAUUAGAGUGUUUAAAGCAGGCUCACGCUUGAAUACAUUAGCAUGGAAUAAUGAAAUAGGACAUCCGAUUCUAUUUUGUUGGUUUCUAGGAUCGAUGUAAUGAUUAAUAGGGAUAGUUGGGGGCAUUAGUAUUCAAUUGUCAGAGGUGAAAUUCUUGGAUUUAUUGAAGACUAACUACUGCGAAAGCAUUUGCCAAGGAUGUUUUCAUUAAUCAAGAACGAAAGUUAGGGGAUCGAAGACGAUCAGAUACCGUCGUAGUCUUAACCAUAAACUAUGCCGACUAGGGAUCGGAUGAUGUAAU
This 699-nucleotide ribosomal RNA is filed under the name uncultured Glomeromycotina. Its description in RNAcentral is "SSU rRNA". It matches the Rfam family "Eukaryotic small subunit ribosomal RNA", at positions 364 to 1066 of the family's 1831-position model. The record is from RNAcentral. Lineage: Eukaryota; Fungi; Glomeromycota.